UUCGGUCAGUGUCACGGGGUGGUAAACAUGUGUUAAACUAAUGUAACCAAUUUUUAACAGGGUCGGGACCACACUUAGGGCAUCUCCAAUGGUUGUAUGAUCAUCGUUGGUAAUAUUGCCACAUAGAUGAUUUUGAUGACAUGGCGCAUAAUAAAAGAAGAAAGAGAAUGAAAUCGUAUGAACUUGAAGCAACGGUUCACGCACAAGCUCCGAGGCAAGCAUGGUUAUUUCUUUCAUGUUUAGUGGACCCGCUUAGUUAUUUUACAUACGAUUAACAUACACUCCAUUGAAGAGCUUGUAUGAUGUGUUGUUGAUUGUUGAUGUGGACACUUAUAUCAACGAUUGAACAUACGGACUGUUGAAGAUGCUCUUAGUGGCUAUAUGGGUUAAUUACCAGGUGGUUUAACUACUAAUGGCGCGCCACGUCAUCUGUUAACGCCGACGCUAAUCCGAUGGCUCAGUGAUCGCCAGCCUGCCGAUUUCGGUGAUGUACGGAUGCUAGGGUGGUCGGGUUUGUCGCUGGCGUCGAGGUCAGGCAGCGGCGGCGCUCGGGUUAGUCGUGGUCGUUGGUGCGGCGUGCAAGCGAGCUGAGAAACGAGCUCGUUAGGCUGCCGGGGAUUUGGCAAGGGUGGUAACGCGCUUGGGUGCACCGUGCGCGCGCUGGGGCUGCGGUGGCGACUAAUGCAGCGGCGGCAGGAGAACGGUACAAGGGGGCGACGUACACAGCGUGAAAUCGAGCAGGAUGGCAAGGGGAAU
Molecule: long non-coding RNA, 756 nt
Filed under: Hordeum vulgare
Lineage: Eukaryota; Viridiplantae; Streptophyta; Magnoliopsida; Poales; Poaceae
Description: long non-coding RNA (HVUL_LNC019408)
Source: RNAcentral